AUUGAACGCUGGCGGCAGGCCUAACACAUGCCAGUCGAACGGUAACAGGAAGAAGCUUGCUUCUUUGCUGACGAGUGGCGGACGGGUGAGUGAUGUCUGGGAAACUGCCUGAUGGAGGGGGAUAACUACUGGAAACGGUAGCUAAUACCGCAUAACGUCGCAAGACCAAAGAGGGGGACCUUCGGGCCUCUUGCCAUCGGAUGUGCCCAGAUGGGAUUAGCUAGUAGGUGGGGUAACGGCUCGCCUAGGCGACGAUCCCUAGCUGGUCUGAGAGGAUGACCAGCCACACUGGAACUGAGACACGGUCCAGACUCCUACGGGAGGCAGCAGUGGGGAAUAUUGCACAAUGGGCGCAAGCCUGAUGCAGCCAUGCCGCGUGUAUGAAGAAGGCCUUCGGGUUGUAAAGUACUUUCAGCGGGGAGGAAGGGAGUAAAGUUAAUACCUUGGCUCAUUGACGUUACCCGCAGAAGAAGCACCGGCUAACUCCGUG
Molecule: ribosomal RNA, 490 nt
Filed under: uncultured bacterium
Lineage: Bacteria
Description: partial 16S ribosomal RNA
Rfam family: Bacterial small subunit ribosomal RNA
Source: RNAcentral